Molecule: ribosomal RNA, 254 nt
Filed under: uncultured bacterium
Lineage: Bacteria
Description: partial 16S ribosomal RNA
Rfam family: Bacterial small subunit ribosomal RNA
Source: RNAcentral
UACGUAGGGGGCAAGCGUUGUUCGGAAUGACUGGGCGUAAAGGGUGCGUAGGCGGUGUAGCAAGUCAGAAGUGAAAUACCUAGAGCUUAACUCAGGUGCUGCUUCUAAAACUGCUAUACUUGAGUGCAGUAGAGGAAAGUGGAAUUCCUAGUGUAGCGGUGGAAUGCGUAGAUAUUAGGAGGAACAUCAGUGGCGAAGGCGACUUUCUGGACUGUAACUGACGCUGAGGCACGAAAGUGUGGGGAGCAAACAGG